Long non-coding RNA from Salvia miltiorrhiza (redroot sage), 926 nucleotides. RefSeq lists it as uncharacterized. Lineage: Eukaryota; Viridiplantae; Streptophyta; Magnoliopsida; Lamiales; Lamiaceae. The record is from RefSeq and is a predicted model, not a curated record. The transcript is spliced from 3 exons.
GGAUUUAUUUCAGCUUGUGAAGUGAAUUAAAUCUACAGAUUUAAUUUAGAUUUAUUCUACAAGUCACGAUGUUAAUGGAUGAGAAGUCAACAAUCAAAAUAUGAGAAUUUUUAGAGUAUUUUGUAUUUUUAGCAAGACCCGAGAUUAAUAACAUAUAUAGAUUUACCAACAGAGAAUGAUUUAUUUUAUUCAUCACAUCACAACUUUACAACUUAUUAUUCACUACAUCCCUAUUUCCUACCUACUACAUCAAGAAAACAAACCAAACUUCCUACCUACUACAUCAAGAAAAGAAAAGGGAAGGCAUGCGUGUGGGAACAAAAUCAGCCAUUUUAGUAGACUACUCAAGUAUAGCCAUUAAUGCACUCCUUCAAAUAAACAUAUCAGCCAACAACACUCUUCAUUCAUUCCCUUAGACACCAGAUUUUAGACACCAGAUUUGAGAGAGAGUAAGAUGAUUUCUGCUGCCAAACCUUGAGAGGUAAGUCUUGAUUCGAAUUUCCUCCAUUCCUCUUUAGUACCUCCUGAAAUUGUCAAGAAACAAUAUUUGCUGUUUCAGCUUUCAUCUCAUUGAAUCCAAUCAACAACAUCAGCUACCAACACAAAACAAUUGCAAGGUUAAGCGCAAGAGUAAGAACUAGUCAAGGGGUUACUGAACUGUAGCAAAGCUUUGCUAUCAGGUUGAGCAAUGGCUGAUGAAGAUGAAGUGAUGAGCGGAGCUUUUGUCAUGAGUUUAAAAUGGACUCUUGGAUACAUGUCUUCAUACAUGUAAUCAGAUUAUGUUAUUCCGCUGCAUACUCUCAAGUAAUAUGUCUUUAAGCUAAGUCGGGUUCAUCCGAACUCACGAGUUAAUCGAGUCCUUGUGACUAAACAACAGUUAUCUUAUGAUUGUCCCUCCUUAACAAUGAUUUGAUUUCGAGCCUUCA